Molecule: microRNA, 23 nt
Filed under: Ananas comosus (pineapple)
Lineage: Eukaryota; Viridiplantae; Streptophyta; Magnoliopsida; Poales; Bromeliaceae
Description: microRNA s1151_c008b
Source: RNAcentral
AACAGUACAUAUGACAUGAGUCA